This 492-nucleotide ribosomal RNA is filed under the name uncultured bacterium. RNAcentral describes it as "partial 16S ribosomal RNA". It matches the Rfam family "Bacterial small subunit ribosomal RNA", at positions 29 to 507 of the family's 1533-position model. The record is from RNAcentral.
AGUGAACGCUGGCGGUAGGCCUAACACAUGCAAGUCGAACGGCAGCACAGUAAGCGCUUGCUCUUACGGGUGGCGAGUGGCGGACGGGUGAGGAAUACAUCGGAAUCUACUUUUUCGUGGGGGAUAACGUAGGGAAAAUUACGCUAAUACCGCAUACGACCUACGGGUGAAAUCAGGGGAUCUUCGGACCUUGCGCGAAUGAAUGAGCCGAUGUCGGAUUAGCUAGUUGGCGGGGUAAAGGACCACCAAGGCGACGGUCCGUAGCUGGUCGGACUGGAUGAUCGGCCAAACGGGAACUGAGACACGGUCAAGACUCCAACGGAGGCCAGCGGUGGGGAAUAUUGGACAAUGGGCGCAAGCCUGAUCCAGCCAGACCGCGUGGGUGAAGAAGGCCUUCGGGUUGUAAAGCCCUUUUGUUGGGAAAGAAAAGCAGCAGGGUAAUACCCCGCUGUUCUGACGGUACCCAAAGAAAAAGCACCGGCUAACUUCGUG